Carya illinoinensis is the source of this 1109-nucleotide RNA transcript. It is a transcript of the gene named thylakoid lumenal 16.5 kDa protein, chloroplastic-like, with no coding region annotated. The transcript has 4 exons. Lineage: Eukaryota; Viridiplantae; Streptophyta; Magnoliopsida; Fagales; Juglandaceae. The record is from RefSeq and is a predicted model, not a curated record.
UCUGAUUGUUUUUUUCCUACCAGAAAUAUCAGAAAAUAAUAAGUGAAAGAAAAGCAAGAAAUGGCAACAGCCUUUCUCUCUACUGCAAAUACCUUCAUUUAUUCUUCUCUAUCCUCUUCAGCAUCUCCUUCCUCUUCUUUGUUAACAUCACCAUCAUUAUUCUUCCCUCACAAACACAAUGCAGAGAGACAAUUAGCUAUAUGCAAGGCAUUCGCUGAGUCCUCCCCAAAUCUUACCAAAAGAAGCCUUUCCAUCAGCUUCAUCACCAGCUUUGGCUUCUUAUUUUCUCCUAAAGAUUGGUCUGCUUCUAAUGCAGCGAUUCUGGAGGCUGACGACGAUGUGGAGCUCUUGGAAAAGGUCAAGAAGGACAGAAAGAAGAGGAUUGAGAGACAAGGAGUCAUUAGUUCAUCUAACAAAGAAACAGGAUAUCUGCAGGAUGUGGUGUACAAGCUGAGCAAAGUUGCUCAAGCCAUUGACAAUAACGAUCUAUCUACAGCUAGUACUGUUCUUGGGGGAAGCUCUAAUACAGAGUGGGUUAAGAAUGCCAAUAUAGCCUUCACCAAGCUGAGUUCUAGUCCGGAAGAGAAGACUCAAGUGGAGACAUUCAAUUCCUCACUGGUUUCAUUGAUCUCCUCAGGUGGGUUACUCUAUUACUAAGAUGUGCCUUGCUUUCCCACAUCCAUGCUCCCUUGCAAAUUUGCAAUCAUUCAGUAACUCGUAAUGAUGUUGAGUCCUCCAAACUUGCUUUUGUCUCGUCAGCAAGUGCAUUUCAGAAAUGGUCAGCCUUAACUGGACUUGUGGGACAACUCAAGGGGCUUUGAACAGUGACCACAAGUUUUCCUUUUAUUGAGGGAAGAAUUAAAGUUAGAUCAAUUCUGCAACCUCUAGCUAGCUUGAUUCACUAGUUUUCUGCAUGCUUUCAGUUAGUCCUUACAAAUUCCGGAACAACAGGAUAUUGUUCUUUUUGCACGAGUUGUUGUAAUUCGUUGCUCGGUUUGGUUGAGCUUUUGAUUAUAAGCAACAAAAUUUCUCACCAAUUAUUGCAAAUGUUGACGUUAUCAUUCUUUACUAUUUGGAUUAAUUAAAUCGAAAUUUGUUGUUUCUGCUGA